This is a long non-coding RNA of Polypterus senegalus (gray bichir), 821 nucleotides long. RefSeq lists it as uncharacterized. The record is from RefSeq and is a predicted model, not a curated record. The transcript has 4 exons. Lineage: Eukaryota; Metazoa; Chordata; Cladistia; Polypteriformes; Polypteridae.
CCAUAGAGGGCACAGCUGGCAUGCAAUACGUUUGACAUGAUUUAUCCCAGAAGGAGAAAAUGCAAAUAUGCAGUGUCAGAAAUAUUACAGAAGGCAACAACUAAUCAGGGAACGCAAAUAAAUCCCGCAUCAAGACGAAGCUGCUGGCGUCAUCCCAGACGGAGCUGUGAGAUUCCUGUGUUUAACCAAGGAGGAAAAUGAGAAGUGUGGGGAAAAGUUCUGGAAGGACACCAUGCACAAGGGAAUGCCUGAACCUCAUAAAAUACUAUGUAUGAUCUGAAUUUUCUAGGAUUUGAGCAGCAUUUCCAGUAUGCUCAAUUGCAUGUAGGUAGAAGUGUGGAUCCCUUCCCAAUCCUGAUGCGCUGUUAUCUGUUCAAGAGGAUGUCCAUGACUCAGAAGCAGAGAGAAGUGUCCAAACGAGCUGACAAGUUUUUAAGGAAUUUGGGAAUUGAAUGAAGAGCUAAAAUCCACAAAUGGGAUUCUCACAGAUCCAAGGAAGAAAAAUAAUGCUUACCUUCUCUGUAUCCAAGCUCCCAAAAUGGCUACUCCACCCACGAAGAUACCACUUCUGGUCCUACUAUGAAGAUGCCAGCCCCGUUUCUCUUCGAUAAUUUCACUUCCGGUCUCAACCUUAUGGUGUCACUUACGUCCCUCUGCUGUGACGCCGUGUCUGGUCCAAUCAUUUUCAGCCAGCAUUUUGCCCUAUAAAUACCUGUGAUGUAACCAUUUUUGUUUAUCAAAUGUUUUGAUCCCUUAGAUGAACGUCUAAUCGUUUUGUUUGCGUCUGGACGACAUUAUAUGGGGCUACCACCCCAAACCUU